Long non-coding RNA from Rhineura floridana, 677 nucleotides. RefSeq lists it as uncharacterized. The transcript has 2 exons. The record is from RefSeq and is a predicted model, not a curated record. NCBI's taxonomy places the organism in Eukaryota, Metazoa, Chordata, Lepidosauria, Squamata, Rhineuridae.
UUCACCCUGUACCCCGUCCCCGGCGGCUGCACUCUCUGUCCCGCGCUGGCAAAACUUGUCCGUCUCCAGCGCUUGCUCGGCAAUCCCGCGGCGCCCUCCUCGGCUCUCACUGGGCCCGUCAGUCCGUCCCUCCGGCUCGCGGAUUACAGUGUUAGCCAAUAAUCCCCAAUGGAGGAGAAGAUUAAUGCCAACCAGGCCCGCCCCCACCUCAGCCUCCAAUCUCCGCGGCUGCCGGAGAAGCGUCAUGCGCCCCCCUCCACCCCAGAUGGGGCACGAGGGGGGAGACAGGGAGGGGAUGCCGCCGGAGCCAACGCAUCAGAGGGAGUCGGGCACAGGCGCACAAGGCGAGAGGGGAGGGCAGUGCGCAAUGGCGCUCCUUUGGGAGAGGGCCGCGUGCUGCUCUCGGUCAGGCGCUGAGGCCCGAAGGAACUCUGGCAAACUCGACCGCGAUCCUGAAGGCUUUGACUCCGGAGGAAUAGAGCUCUGUACGACUGCUCUGGAGUCUUCCCCACAACAGUAGGUCCAGAUCUUCUUUUUUACCAUCGCCACAUCCAUUCUUAACACGUAACUUCCAAGCGAGUGUGUCAGAGAUUGCAGCAUUACGAAGAGUCGUCGAGAAGCGUGGGCUUUCCUUCCGAGUAACUCUCUUAGGCUCCGGGAAUAAACUCAUCAUCGGU